UGGUGUGCAAUAUGUACUACAUCAGUCUAUAAAAUACUGUGCUACCCCAUUGUGGUUCCAGGAUAACGACUGAGCUAGAGAUUCAUGGCAGUCAUCGUUAUUGGAUUUAUUGCAUCGAUGAUAACUGUUGUGCUCAGAUGACCGUGCUGGAGAUUGUUGAUAGUUUUAGAUUUAAUGCGCGGAAGGAGUAUGUUGUAUCCUGAGGAAUGCUUCAAUUAUGGCUCGGCCUGUGGGCCAAUCGGGGUUCUAAUGGAUAACGGAUUUAUUACAAGGACCGUGCAGGCCCUGGGAUAUCUCACGGUUUUCAAUUCUUUCGUACCCACGGCGUAUUGAACGUUCUGCGCUGUUGAUUUUCGUUAACACCGUCCUCCCCUCACCAAAAAGAUCGCAAUAAAAAUCUGUGUCUACAUUGUUGUUAUCGAUCGACUCGUUAACGUCUGGCUGUUGGAUACGGAUCGCUGUGCGUUGUUCUCUUUUGGAGCUCAUCGAAAACGCCAGUAGACUUCUAUCAACCGUACUUCGAUA
Long non-coding RNA from Daktulosphaira vitifoliae (grape phylloxera), 525 nucleotides. RefSeq lists it as uncharacterized. The record is from RefSeq and is a predicted model, not a curated record. The transcript has 6 exons. Lineage: Eukaryota; Metazoa; Arthropoda; Insecta; Hemiptera; Phylloxeridae.